GUCUACAACCAUGCCACCUUGAAUGUGCCCGAUCUCGUCAGAUCUUGGAAGCUAAGCAAGGUUGGGCCUGGUUAGUACUUUGGAUGGGAGACCUCCUAGGAAUACCAGGUGUUGUAGGCA
Molecule: non-coding RNA, 120 nt
Organism: Pteropus alecto (black flying fox)
Lineage: Eukaryota; Metazoa; Chordata; Mammalia; Chiroptera; Pteropodidae
Source: Rfam